AUUGAACGCUGGCGGCAGGCCUAACACAUGCAAGUCGAACGAGUGGCGGACGGGUGAGUAAUGUCUGGGAAACUGCCUGAUGGAGGGGGCUCACUACUGGAAACGGUAGCUAAUACCGCAUACCAUCAGAUGUGCCCAGAUGGGAUUAGCUAGUUGGUGGGGUAACGGCUCACCAAGGCGACGCUCCCUAGCUGGUCUGCGAGGAUGACCAGCCACACUGGAACUGAGACACGGUCCAGACGCCUACGGGAGGCAGCAGUGGGGAAUAGGGCACAAUGGGCGCAAGCCGGAUGCAGCCAUGCCGCGUGUAGGAAGAAGGCCUUCGGGUUGUAAAGUACUUUCAGCGGGGAGGCGUUACCCGCAGAAGAAGCACCGGCUAACUCCGUGCCAGCAGCCGCGGUAAUAC
Molecule: ribosomal RNA, 406 nt
Filed under: uncultured bacterium
Lineage: Bacteria
Description: partial 16S ribosomal RNA
Rfam family: Bacterial small subunit ribosomal RNA
Source: RNAcentral